This 66-nucleotide small RNA is filed under the name Pseudomonas sp. 8AS. RNAcentral describes it as "Pseudomonas sRNA P26". It matches the Rfam family "Pseudomonas sRNA P26". From Rfam's summary of the family: P26 is conserved across many Gammaproteobacteria species and appears to be consistently located between the DNA directed RNA polymerase (beta subunit) and 50S ribosomal protein L7/L12 genes. The record is from Rfam by way of RNAcentral. Lineage: Bacteria; Pseudomonadati; Pseudomonadota; Gammaproteobacteria; Pseudomonadales; Pseudomonadaceae.
GACCUUGCGUCAACAGCCCAAGCAUUGCGCUUAAGGCUGGCGGCUGGUGGCUUUUGCCACCGGCCU